CAUGCACUGAUGGGGUCCCUCAGCCAGGCCUGGGCCCUCCUGCAAUCCAGGACUCCUUGGGAGAUGUCAGGAAGCCAGUUUUGGCCUGAUUCCCACAGGCCAGGCUGAGGGACCCCACCGGUGCACA
Molecule: microRNA precursor, 127 nt
Filed under: Myotis davidii
Lineage: Eukaryota; Metazoa; Chordata; Mammalia; Chiroptera; Vespertilionidae
Description: mir-9193 microRNA precursor family
Rfam family: mir-9193 microRNA precursor family
Source: Rfam by way of RNAcentral